AUAGGAAAAGUAAAGGCAUCUUUACUUUUUUAAAAGACCUUCUUUGAAGGUAUGCUUAAGGAGGGGCUUGCGACACAUUAGUUAGUUGGCAGGGUAAAGGCCUACCAAGACUAUGAUGUGUAGCUGGGCUGAGAGGUUGAACAGCCACAUUGGGACUGAGACACGGCCCAAACUCCUACGGGAGGCAGCAGUAGGGAAUUUUCGGCAAUGGAGGAAACUCUGACCGAGCAACGCCGCGUGAACGAUGAAGUGCCUCGGUAUGUAAAGUUCUUUUAUUAAGGAAGAAAAAAGAGUGGAAAAACUCCCUUGACGGUACUUAAUGAAUAAGCCCCGGCUAAUUAUGUGCCAGCAGUCGCGGUAAUACAUAAGGGGCGAGCGUUAUCCGGAAUUAUUGGGCGUAAAGGGUGCGUAGGCGGUUUAAUAAGUCUAUAGUUUAAUUUCAGUGCUUAACGCUGUUGCGCUAUAGAAACUGUUUUACUAGAGUGAGUUAGAGGCAAGCGGAAUUCCAUGUGUAGCGGUAAAAUGCGUAAAUAUAUGGAGGAACACCAGAGGCGUAGGCGGCUUGCUGGGACUUUACUGACGCUGAGGCACGAAAGCGUGGGGAGCAAACAGGAUUAGAUACCCUGGUAGUCCACGCCGUAAACGAUGAGUACUAAGUGUCGGGUAAAACCGGUACUGAAGUUAACACAUUAAGUACUCCGCCUGAGUAGUACGUACGCAAGUAUGAAACUUAAAGGAAUUGACGGGACUCCGCACAAGCGGUGGAUCAUGUUGUUUAAUUCGAAGAUACACGAAAAACCUUACCAGGUCUUGACAUUUUCUUGCGAAGUUAUAGAAAUAUAAUGGAGGUUAUCAGGAAAACAGGUGGUGCAUGGUUGUCGUCAGCUCGUGUCGUGAGAUGUUAGGUUAAGUCCUAAAACGAGCGCAACCCUUGUCGUUAAUUGCCAGCAUGUAAUGAUGGGGACUUUAACGAGACUGCCAAUGAAAAAUUGGAGGAAGGUGGGGAUUACGUCAAAUCAUCAUGCCCCUUAUGAUCUGGGCUACAAACGUGAUACAAUGGUUGAUACAAAGAGUAGCUGAAACGCGAGUUCUUAGCCAAUCUCACAAAAUCAAUCUCAGUUCGGAUUGAAGUCUGCAACCCGACUUCAUGAAGUUGGAAUCGCUAGUAAUCGCGAAUCAGCAUGUCGCGGUGAAUACGUUCU
This 1202-nucleotide ribosomal RNA is filed under the name Tomato big bud phytoplasma. RNAcentral's name for it is "bacterial SSU rRNA". It matches the Rfam family "Bacterial small subunit ribosomal RNA", at positions 173 to 1374 of the family's 1533-position model. Lineage: Bacteria; Bacillati; Mycoplasmatota; Mollicutes; Acholeplasmatales; Acholeplasmataceae. The record is from RNAcentral.